CCUAGAGCCUAGAUCCUAGAGCCUAGAUCCCAGAGCCUAGAUCCUAGAUUCUAGAUUCUGGAUCCUAGAUCCUAGAUCCUACACCCUAGAUCCUAGAUCCCAGAUCCUAGACCCUAGACCCUAGAUCCUAGAUCCUAGAUCCUAGAUCCUAGAUCCUAGAUCCUAGACCCUAGAUCGUAGAUCCUAUACUCUAGAUCCUAA
Molecule: non-coding RNA, 201 nt
Organism: Caenorhabditis elegans
Lineage: Eukaryota; Metazoa; Nematoda; Chromadorea; Rhabditida; Rhabditidae
Source: Ensembl